CCUCAAGGUCUUCAGCUUUUAGAGCUUCAGAUCCCCGCUACAAGAUGGCGGCGGUGUUGACGCAUGCUGAGAAGCCGAAGGCGACAUCUAGUCAGUAUAUAUAU
Long non-coding RNA from Alosa sapidissima (American shad), 104 nucleotides. RefSeq lists it as uncharacterized. Lineage: Eukaryota; Metazoa; Chordata; Actinopteri; Clupeiformes; Clupeidae. The record is from RefSeq and is a predicted model, not a curated record. The transcript has 3 exons.